This 627-nucleotide long non-coding RNA is filed under the name Physcomitrium patens. RNAcentral describes it as "long non-coding RNA (PPAT_LNC002870)". Lineage: Eukaryota; Viridiplantae; Streptophyta; Bryopsida; Funariales; Funariaceae. The record is from RNAcentral.
AAUUUUGAGAAAAUGAGAGCCAAAGCAAGAAAAAAGAAUUGGCCACUUGUUGCAGCUAUUGCCUUCAAAAUUUCUAUCUACAAAUUAUUUUAGAUCUCUCUUAUCAUAGCUUUUUUUUUACAUGCUAAAUCUUAUUGAAAAGAUGACAAAGAAAUCUAGCUUUUCUCAAAAUUUCAAAUCAAAAAGAAAAAAAAUGCAAGAAAUGGCAUAGAAAAUUCCAAAUUAGUCUUGAAUCAUGACGUCUCAAAAAGUCUAGCAACCCCCCUCCCAAAAACUCACAUAGAUCUCUCUUGUUAUAAUUCUUCUUCUUCCAAUGCUAAGGCUUCUUGAAAAAAUAAUAAUGAAAUCCAACUUCUAUCAAAAUUUCAAAUCAUAAAGAAGAAAAUAUAAGAAAUGGUACAAAAAAUCCUAAACUAGUCUUAAAUCAUGUUGCCUUAAAAACUCCAGAAAUCCCCCACCCACAACCUUCCAUGGAUAUCCUUCAUCAUAGCUCUUCUUCUUGUGUGCUAAAUCUUAUUGGAAAGCUAACAACAAGAUUUAAUUUUCUUUCAAAUUUAAAUAUAAGAAAAUAAAAAUUUAGUAAGUAGCAUCAAAAAUCUUGUACUAGUGUUGAAAAUUCUUGCCUCU